GACGAACGCUGGCGGCGUGCUUAACACAUGCAAGUCGAACGGAAAGGCCCUGCUUUUGUGGGGUGCUCGAGUGGCGAACGGGUGAGUAACACGUGAGUAACCUGCCCUUGACUUUGGGAUAACUUCAGGAAACUGGGGCUAAUACCGGAUAGGAGCUCCUGCUGCAUGGUGGGGGUUGGAAAGUUUCGGCGGUUGGGGAUGGACUCGCGGCUUAUCAGCUUGUUGGUUGGGUAGUGGCUUACCAAGGCUUUGACGGGUAGCCGGCCUGAGAGGGUGACCGGCCACAUUGGGACUGCGAUACGGCCCAGACUCCUACGGGAGGCAGCGGUGGGGAAUAUUGCACAAUGGGCGGAAGCCUGAUGCAGCAACGCCGCGUUCGGGAUGACGGCCUUCGGGUUGUAAACCGCUUUCGCCUGUGACGAAGCGUGAGUGACGGUAAUGGGUAAAGAAGCACCGGCUAACUACGUG
This 468-nucleotide ribosomal RNA is filed under the name uncultured bacterium. Its description in RNAcentral is "partial 16S ribosomal RNA". It matches the Rfam family "Bacterial small subunit ribosomal RNA", at positions 28 to 507 of the family's 1533-position model. The record is from RNAcentral.